RNAcentral lists this microRNA (21 nucleotides) under Zea mays. RNAcentral's name for it is "zma-miR171g-5p". Its record names the gene zma-miR171g-5p. Lineage: Eukaryota; Viridiplantae; Streptophyta; Magnoliopsida; Poales; Poaceae. The record is from miRBase by way of RNAcentral.
UAUUGACUUGGCUCAUCUCUC